RNAcentral lists this ribosomal RNA (497 nucleotides) under uncultured bacterium. Its description in RNAcentral is "partial 16S ribosomal RNA". It matches the Rfam family "Bacterial small subunit ribosomal RNA", at positions 28 to 507 of the family's 1533-position model. The record is from RNAcentral.
GAUGAACGCUGGCGGCGUGCCUAAUACAUGCAAGUCGAGCGAACGGACGAGAAGCUUGCUUCUCUGAUGUUAGCGGCGGACGGGUGAGUAACACGUGGAUAACCUACCUAUAAGACUGGGAUAACUUCGGGAAACCGUAGCUAAUACCGGAUAAUAUUUUGAACAGCAUGGUUCAAAAGUGAAAGACGGUCUUGCUGUCACUUAUAGAUGGAUCCGCGCUGCAUUAGCUAGUUGGUAAGGUAACGGCUUACCAAGGCAACGAUGCAUAGCCGACCUGAGAGGGUGAUCGGCCACACUGGAAGUGAGACACGGUCCAGACUCCUACGGGAGGCAGCAGUAGGGAAUCUUCCGCAAUGGGCGAAAGCCUGACGGAGCAACGCCGCGUGAGUGAUGAAGGUCUUCGGAUCGUAAAACUCUGUUAUUAGGGAAGAACAUAUGUGUAAGUAACUGUGCACAUCUUGACGGUACCUAAUCAGAAAGCCACGGCUAACUACGUG